UGGGGAAUAUUGCACAAUGGGCGAAAGCCUGAUGCAGCGACGCCGCGUGAGCGAAGAAGUAUUUCGGUAUGUAAAGCUCUAUCAGCAGGGAAGAUAAUGACGGUACCUGACUAAGAAGCACCGGCUAAAUACGUGCCAGCAGCCGCGGUAAUACGUAUGGUGCAAGCGUUAUCCGGAAUUACUGGGUGUAAAGGGAGCGCAGGCGGGAAGACAAGUCGGAAGUGAAAUCUAUGGGCUCAACCCAUAAACUGCUUUCAAAACUGUUUUUCUUGAGUAGUGCAGAGGUAGGCGGAAUUCCCGGUGUAGCGGUGGAAUGCGUAGAUAUCGGGAGGAACACCAGUGGCGAAGGCGGCCUACUGGGCACCAACUGACGCUGAGGCUCGAAAGUGUGGGUAGCAAACAGGAUUAGAUACCCUGGUAGUCCACACCGUAAACGAUGAUUACUAGGUGUUGGAGGAUUGACCCCUUCAGUGCCGCAGUUAACACAAUAAGUAAUCCACCUGGGGAGUACGACCGCAAGGUUGAAACUCAAAGGAAUUGACGGGGGCCCGCACAAGCAGUGGAGUAUGUGGUUUAAUUCGACGCAACGCGAAGAACCUUACCAAGUCUUGACAUCCUGCGACGAUGCUGGAAACAGCAUUUUCCUUCGGGACGCAGAGACAGGUGGUGCAUGGUUGUCGUCAGCUCGUGUCGUGAGAUGUUGGGUUAAGUCCCGCAACGAGCGCAACCCUUACUGUCAGUUACUACGCAAGAGGACUCUGGCAGGACUGCCGUUGACAAAACGGAGGAAGGUGGGGAUGACGUCAAAUCAUCAUGCCCUUUAUGACUUGGGCUACACACGUACUACAAUGGCGUUAAACAAAGAGAAGCAAGACCGCGAGGUGGAGCAAAACUCAGAAACAACGUCCCAGUUCGGACUGCAGGCUGCAACUCGCCUGCACGAAGUCGGAAUUGCUAGUAAUCGUGGAUCAGCAUGCCACGGUGAAUACGUUCCC
This 995-nucleotide ribosomal RNA is filed under the name uncultured organism. Its description in RNAcentral is "bacterial SSU rRNA". It matches the Rfam family "Bacterial small subunit ribosomal RNA", at positions 355 to 1375 of the family's 1533-position model. The record is from RNAcentral.